RNAcentral lists this ribosomal RNA (1357 nucleotides) under uncultured bacterium. Its description in RNAcentral is "bacterial SSU rRNA". It matches the Rfam family "Bacterial small subunit ribosomal RNA", at positions 18 to 1396 of the family's 1533-position model. The record is from RNAcentral.
CCUGGCUCACGACGAACGCUGGCGGCGCGCCUAACACAUGCAAGUCGAACGAGCGAGAGAGAGCUUGCUUUCUCAAGCGAGUGGCGAACGGGUGAGUAACGCGUGAGGAACCUGCCUCAAAGAGGGGGACAACAGUUGGAAACGACUGCUAAUACCGCAUAAGCCCACGGGUCGGCAUCGACCAGAGGGAAAAGGAGCAAUCCGCUUUGAGAUGGCCUCGCGUCCGAUUAGCUAGUUGGUGAGGUAACGGCCCACCAAGGCAACGAUCGGUAGCCGGACUGAGAGGUUGAACGGCCACAUUGGGACUGAGACACGGCCCAGACUCCUACGGGAGGCAGCAGUGGGGAAUAUUGCACAAUGGGGGAAACCCUGAUGCAGCGACGCCGCGUGGAGGAAGAAGGUCUUCGGAUUGUAAACUCCUGUUGUUGAGGAAGAUAAUGACGGUACUCAACAAGGAAGUGACGGCUAACUACGUGCCAGCAGCCGCGGUAAAACGUAGGUCACAAGCGUUGUCCGGAAUUACUGGGUGUAAAGGGAGCGCAGGCGGGAAGACAAGUUGGAAGUGAAAUCUAUGGGCUCAACCCAUAAACUGCUUUCAAAACUGUUUUUCUUGAGUAGUGCAGAGGUAGGCGGAAUUCCCGGUGUAGCGGUGGAAUGCGUAGAUAUCGGGAGGAACACCAGUGGCGAAGGCGGCCUACUGGGCACCAACUGACGCUGAGGCUCGAAAGUGUGGGUAGCAAACAGGAUUAGAUACCCUGGUAGUCCACACCGUAAACGAUGAUUACUAGGUGUUGGAGGAUUGACCCCUUCAGUGCCGCAGUUAACACAAUAAGUAAUCCACCUGGGGAGUACGACCGCAAGGUUGAAACUCAAAGGAAUUGACGGGGGCCCGCACAAGCAGUGGAGUAUGUGGUUUAAUUCGACGCAACGCGAAGAACCUUACCAAGUCUUGACAUCCCUUGACGAACAUAGAAAUAUGUUUUCUCUUCGGAGCAAGGAGACAGGUGGUGCAUGGUUGUCGUCAGCUCGUGUCGUGAGAUGUUGGGUUAAGUCCCGCAACGAGCGCAACCCUUACUGUCAGUUACUACGCAAGAGGACUCUGGCAGGACUGCCGUUGACAAAACGGAGGAAGGUGGGGAUGACGUCAAAUCAUCAUGCCCUUUAUGACUUGGGCUACACACGUACUACAAUGGCGUUAAACAAAGAGAAGCAAGACCGCGAGGUGGAGCAAAACUCAGAAACAACGUCCCAGUUCGGACUGCAGGCUGCAACUCGCCUGCACGAAGUCGGAAUUGCUAGUAAUCGUGGAUCAGCAUGCCACGGUGAAUACGUUCCCGGGCCUUGUACACACCGCCCG